RNAcentral lists this ribosomal RNA (89 nucleotides) under Ailuropoda melanoleuca (giant panda). Lineage: Eukaryota; Metazoa; Chordata; Mammalia; Carnivora; Ursidae. The record is from RNAcentral.
UCUACAGCCAUACCACCCAAAAUGCACCCAAUCUUGUCUGAUCUCGGAAGCUAAGCAGGGUUGGGUCUGGUUAGUACUUGGAUGGGAGA